GAAUCCUAGCAAAGCCAAGAGAAGAAUAAUGGGAUAAGGAAAGAAGAUGGAAGCGUAAAUGGCAACUGGCCUGUAUAUCCCAGGCAGCUGCCUAGUGCCAUCUUCCUUCUUUCCUGAGCAUUCAAGAAAUGAAGAGAAACUGUCCAGUGAUAAUCCAUAUUACCAAAAGAGCUCAGGAUUCCCCUCUGUUAAAAAAGCGAAUUAUUCAUUAUGUGUUGACCAACAGUGACUUAAAAGGGAGGCAGGAGGAAUGAUAUGGGGAAAUAAAUUUGGUGAGA
This 278-nucleotide long non-coding RNA is filed under the name Phascolarctos cinereus (koala). Its description in RNAcentral is "lncRNA (ENSPCIG00000034355.1)". The record is from RNAcentral. Lineage: Eukaryota; Metazoa; Chordata; Mammalia; Diprotodontia; Phascolarctidae.